This 539-nucleotide ribosomal RNA is filed under the name Tropidophis feicki. RNAcentral's name for it is "partial 16S ribosomal RNA". It matches the Rfam family "Bacterial large subunit ribosomal RNA", at positions 1797 to 2615 of the family's 2925-position model. Lineage: Eukaryota; Metazoa; Chordata; Lepidosauria; Squamata; Tropidophiidae. The record is from RNAcentral.
CGCCUGUUUAUCAAAAACAUAACCUUUAGCCAAACGAGUAUUAAAGGCAAAGCCUGCCCAGUGAGACCAUCUUUAACGGCCGCGGUACCCUAACCGUGCAAAGGUAGCGUAAUCAUUUGUCUAUUAAUUGUAGACCAGUAUGAAAGGCUACAUGAGAGUCAGACUGUCUCUUGUAAUGAAUCUACUAAACUGAUCUCCUAGUCCAAAAGCUAUGAUAACCAUAUAAGACCAGAAGACCCUGUGAAGCUUAAACUAACCUUCUAAAACAACUAGAAGCUACUUUCAGUUGGGGCGACUAUGGAACAAAACAAAACUUCCAACACAAUAUACUUCAACAGGCAUACAAGCCUCUAUACGACCCAGUCUAACUGACUAACGAAACAAGUUACUCCAGGGAUAACAGCGCUAUCUUCUUCAAGAGCCCAUAUCAAAAAGAAGGUUUACGACCUCGAUGUUGGAUCAGGACACCCAAAUGGUGCAGAAGCUAUUAAAGGUUCGUUUGUUCAACGAUUAACAGUCCUACGUGAUCUGAGUUCAGA